GCCCGCGGCGGCUGAGAGCUUCGGGGCGGCCACUACAAAAUCGCCCUUCUCGGAUCCUCAGUGAUUAUUACCUGUGUAUUGCCGAUUCCCUCCAGUUUCUCACCGCUCGGCUGAUACACCUGAAACCGUUCGAGACGACGCCUGCGACUACAGUGCCUGAGAGUCCACUUUCUUUAUACUUUCACCAGCACUGGAUAGGGUAUGGCUCUCUUAUUCCACAGAAGUAAAUAAUUGCAUUUCUUCAGAUCAACUUGAAUCUAAACCUGAGCUCCCAUCCUGC
Molecule: long non-coding RNA, 280 nt
Organism: Prionailurus viverrinus (fishing cat)
Lineage: Eukaryota; Metazoa; Chordata; Mammalia; Carnivora; Felidae
Exons: 3
Source: RefSeq, a predicted model, not a curated record